AGCCAUUUGACAAAGGCACAAAAAGCACACACAAGCGAACAAGUUGAGACGCGAAAAAAUCCCCUCUUACCCAACCGCUUUCCACUCCAAGCCUCCCCUGGAGCGAUGCAGUGCGGCAGCGGCUGGCGAAGGGCUUGUCUGCCGGAGAUAACAAAGAGAGCGUCAAAGAGGGGGCCAGGAAACGGAUGGACUGCAGGCCUGCUGGGAGGGGAUAGUGGAGGGGAGGCGAAACAAAAGCGACAUAUCAACAAAUGUUGCCGGCAUAGAAGACCCAGCUUCCGUGGCAGCCACACGCCUGUCAAUGAAGCGGCGGCAGCCACGCGCAACACUCGUGGUUUGUGCACCAAAAAAGGCAAGCAUAAUAAAAGGAUACCCUGGUAAUUAAAGUGCAGCAGUACUUUCGCUGUGUAGCCAUAUACCCUAGCGCUCUCAACGUUUACUGGGUAUUCCAGGAGCCAAUGAAUGGAGAGGGGAAAGUACAUCAGGAGGAUAAAAAUCGAAGUAGCGAUGCCAUGCAGCGCAGGACACUCAGCAGGAGCACAAACCAAAUGCAAAUCACACGGAAAGGAAAACGAAUACGUAAUCUGAACGUGUUUAGUCCUUAGUAUUUCAAACAGCAGCAGGAGAAGGAGCAGCAGACGGGGUAAAACCACGGACGAACCCAAAAAAGCAGACCAUAAAUUUAUUGUUAACGUUGCCUCAUGCAAAUUGAAUCCUUUCGUUGUGUUGUCCAGACCAUGGGACACUCUUUGGGUGUCUGUCUUUGAAUGCUUAAGAGGUUGCCACGCUUUCUCGUUAUCUCUGGCCAAUGGGGAUUAACUUGAGGCAUAAUAGCAGGUCCUGGCAUAAUAAUAAACGUUAUUUAUGGCUUAACCAUAGAGAGGAUAUAAAUUGUAGAUGAUAAUAUUCGCAUUGUAGCGUCUUUUGUU
RNAcentral lists this long non-coding RNA (929 nucleotides) under Drosophila guanche. Lineage: Eukaryota; Metazoa; Arthropoda; Insecta; Diptera; Drosophilidae. The record is from RNAcentral.